Long non-coding RNA from Vespa velutina, 3711 nucleotides. RefSeq lists it as uncharacterized. The record is from RefSeq and is a predicted model, not a curated record. The transcript has 2 exons. NCBI's taxonomy places the organism in Eukaryota, Metazoa, Arthropoda, Insecta, Hymenoptera, Vespidae.
UUGAAAUAAAAAGAAAAAAAGUUAGAUAGAGAGAGAGAGAGAGAGAGAGAGAGAGAGAGAGAGAGAAGCUAAUGCCGCGUUUUGGCUAAUAAAAGAAAAAAAAAAAAAAAAAAAAAAAUUGUACUUUAUCUAUUUGUUACACGGAUAUAUAGGAACGCGCGAGUGACUCGAUUGAUUUUUCAGAAAAUCGUGCCAAAAUUCUAGCUCUCUGUUUUUUGCAAGCGUUCACACUUGCGUUGAUGUUUGCUUCGGACAAUUUAUAAAUCGCGUUCACUUUUUUAUAUACGUUUAUUGUAUAGAGGUACGACAAUACACGCCCGUGCGUAACGUAAAUGCACGUGCUCGCUCAUUAAUUAAACGCGAUCGAGUUAAUAAGAGACGACGGAUAAUCGCGUGAAACGAACUAAUUACAGAGUAUAUGGUUUAAAUUGACGCAAUUUAUUUGAAAGGAUUGUAUAUUUGUUACUUUCGACGAAUAAAAUAUUCUUGUAUACCUCAGGCAUUCGAAAAAAAGAAAAAAAAGAAAAACAAACAAAAAAGAAAAUAUCGAUUAAUCGAUACACUAUAUCUCUUACCUCGUCCCCGUAUUCCCUAAAAAAAAUCGUAUUUUCUUUUCUUUUUUCUUUUCUUUCCUUUCUUUUUUCUUUUUUUUUUUUUUUUUUUACUUUUUUCUAUUUUCUUUUUUCUUCCUUUUUCUUUUUUCUUUUCCGAAUGAAACAACUAAAACAUCUGUAUCCGUAAAUCCUUCGAACAUCACGACACGCUUCACGGGCUUAAAUAAAUUAAGACUAAUGCGAUACGAGUGAUCCUUAAUCCCUAAAACUACGUCAGGAAACAUCUACUACUACUACUAUUACUACUACUAUUACUACUACUAAUACGUGCAACGAGAAGUUGGCUUUGAGCCCAUCAUUGGUUACGACAUGAAAAUAGUCGAUUCCCGAGAUUUUCCUUCCAGCAAAUUCCUAUUUUCUCUCUUCGUUCAUGAUUAUCAAGAUAACGUCUACGUGCCAAUUAUCUGUACUCAUUUUGAUCCUUUUUUUCUUUUUUUUUUAUGUCCUCUCCAGUUUUAACCGAUGAAAUUUCAAGCGGAAUCGUGGAAAAGGGAGUAUCACGAAAACGAAUUUAAUAAAAGACCUAAUCGAAAAACGGGACGAUAUAUAUAUACAUAGAGAGAGAGAGAGAGAGAGAGAGUCGACAACACUUAUCGACACUUUGCCAAUAAUUUUUCGUCCAACUUCGAAGGUAGUAGCUAAGGCCAGCUACGACAUACUAUAUAUUACUCCGACUCUAUCUUGUCUCCGUACUUUCUCCUUCCCCCUUCCUUUCCUCAUCGUUUCAUCUAUCUCCUGCAGCAGGUUCAAGGAAGCUGCAGAAACGUUUCUCGAUUUUUCUUGAAGGAAAGUAGGUACUACGUACCUUAACGGAAGCCUCGAAGACGGAGAAGAUGGGUGACAAUGGACGUCGAGCGUUGCAAUUUUGAAAUGUCGAUACCAGUCGGGCGUGUACUUCUCUUUUUCUUCUUCUUCUUCUUCUUCUUCUUCUUCUUCUUCUUCUUCUUCUUCUUCUUCUCCUUCUUCUUCUUCUUCUUCUUCUUUUUCUCCACCCACGAUUCUUCCCUCGAGCUUUUUCGCAACAGCCUUUUUCAACAUCUAUACGAUGUCGACGUAAUUCGCUUACCGUAGAGUCCCGCGUAGGUACUCGACAACUUUUCCUUUUUAUCCACGCCUCAAGGCGUUAGAUCGUCGACGAUCUUCCUGACUCUCUUUCUCUGUGUUAUAUUCUACGAAUAUCUCGUAACAUCCGUAAGAAUCAAGGUAAAUAUAAGCUCGUCUUUACUUCACGCGUUUUCUUACUUCUACACGUUCGAAAGAAAAAAAAGAGAAAGAAGAGAGAGAGAGAGAGAGAGAGAAAGAAAGAAAGAAAAAAAAGAAACACCGACAACCGACUCUGAAUGACUUUAAACCUCCGUUGCCGUGUGUUGAAUUCCAUAUCAGUAAAAGCUGGCUAGUCGUUACAAAGUUUCCGAGUCAUAAAUUUUCCUUAGAGUAUAACGUCGCGCAGGUUAAUUCGCCAUGUUCUAGAGAACUUAACUCUCUUAGGAUUUUCAGUUCUCUCACGAGCAGUACGAUGAUAUUACUUUUGUUGAAAAUCGUUGAAAAUCGAUAUUGCGUCCCGUAAUCCUAUCUUUAGAAAAGGAAAAAAAAAGAAAAAAAAAAAAAACAAAAAGAAAACCGAAACAAAAGCAAAAAGAAAAAGAAACAAGGAAGAAAAAAAGAAAAAGAAGUUCAACGCUUGGAAUUCCAUGGAGAUUUAUAAAUACAACCUAUGAUCUUCGUACGGCGAAGAUGAUGAUAAUGAUGAUGAUGAUGAUGAUGAUGAUGAUGAGAAGUUCGUCCUGCCGCUAGUUACAUUAAGUGUAAAGCGCGAAGGGGUGGAAAACAAAACAAAACAAAACAAAACAAAGGAGAGAAAGAGAGGAAGAAAGAGAGAGAGAGAGAGCAAAUUCUAUCCACAAUGAGAAAGAUGAAAGAAAAGUAUUCUAUUGUAUCUUCCGUAAGGCUCGUUUAAUUCGUUAAAAUCUAAAAGGUUUAUUAUUCGAAAUUUCCAGGAUUAAUACGAAUACGUGUGCAAAAGGUAAAGUUAAGAGUUACGUUAUGAUGUAGAAUAAUUAUUAACAUUUUAAUUGCCCUUUAACAGUUUUCAACGCGCUCGCGUACAUGUUUAUUUUAUUGGCCGUUUACACCCAACGGCGUUUACGUUACGAUCGUUAAAAUCUAUACAAGCGUGGGUGUCAAAUAACCCAACAGAGUUCACUCAUGUAAUCUUUACAUUCUACAUAUUCCGAUCGUAAGGCUAUCGUUCGAAAUCGAAUAAAACCUUGUCGAUCCUUUCCAGUCUAUUUAGCUUCAUUCCAUUUCUUCCUCAUCUUAGACAUUUUUUUUUCUUUCGAUAUCACGUGACUGGAUAUAUACGGGUGUUAUCCUUUAAGCGUACAAAAGAAUAGAAAGACAGGAAGACAUGAGAUAUGCCAUACAUGAAUUACGAUCACGAUUGUUGUUCGCCUUAUGUGUGCGUUCUAUGCCCUCGUUCGUACGGUUAACGACUCAUUGGCGUGUCCCUUAGAUCGUCGAAAGAUCUACAGAAGCUCUCAUAUCGAUUUUCUACGGUGAUUUUAACGCGUCUUCCUUUUUAACCCACUUUCCCCUCUUCCCGUCCGUUCGCACACACUUCCAUUCCCACCCUAUCCAAUCAAUUCGUACGUAUAACGACGAAUCUCGUACAACUUUCUUCUCGGCGUAAUUGAAAGAUAAGAUCGAACGGAGAUAAAGAUUUAAUUGGGAAUACGCCGAUAGAUCGAAAUAGAGAUCUUGUUUUAUUCUACUAAAUACGUUUCGUGUAAUUAAUUCGACUUAAGCUCGCCUAAGUCCAUCACGUUUAAAUAGCUAUCUCAUGUAUUCGUGCAUGUAUAUAUGUAUGUAUAUACGCAUGUACACAUAUGUAUGUAUCUAUCUAUGUAUGUAUGUAUGUAUGUAGGAGAAAUGUGAGAUCAUCUUUCUUCGUUCAUGACGUUAAUUAACUAUGUCUCUACGUAUCUGCAUUUCUUUCGGGUUAAUUUAUACUUUUUCUUGUUUCCCCGUCUCUUGCUCGAUACAAAUAAAAGAAAAAUAAAAAAAAAAAAAAUAAAAAAAUAAGAAAAAAGAAAAAAAA